Molecule: non-coding RNA, 292 nt
Organism: Podarcis lilfordi (Lilford's wall lizard)
Lineage: Eukaryota; Metazoa; Chordata; Lepidosauria; Squamata; Lacertidae
Source: the annotation of a GenBank genome assembly
AGCUGGGAAGCGAGGCUUCACACUGCCUUUCAAAGCAGCCCCAUCCCAACUCCUACUUGCAUGCAAGCAGAAGGGGGCAGGGAUCUCUCAGGCAGUGCGAUGCCUCCCUUCCCAUCAGAGCAGCCCAAAUCCCAUUCCUACUUGCCUGCAAGCAGGAGGGGGUGGGGAUCCCUCAGCUGGGAAGGGAGGCUUCCUGUUGCCUAACUGAGAGAUCCCUGCCCCCUCCUGCUUGCACGCAAGUAGGAGUUGGGAGGCUGCUCCGAUAGGCAGCAUGAAGCCUCCCUUCACAGCU